ACGGAGGAUGCAAGCGUUAUCCGGAUUUAUUGGGUUUAAAGGGUGCGCAGGUGGUUUUAUAAGUCAGAGGUUAAAGUUUGUGGCUCAACGCUAGGAUUGCCAUUGAUACUGUAGGACUUGAGUAUGGAUGAGGUAGGCGGAAUUCGUAGUGUAGCGGUGAAAUGCGUAGAUAUUGCGCAGAACGCCGAUUGCGAAGGCAGCUUACUGGUCUAUAACUGACGCUGAGGCGCGAAAGCUUGGGGAUCAAACAG
This 251-nucleotide ribosomal RNA is filed under the name uncultured prokaryote. RNAcentral's name for it is "partial 16S rRNA". It matches the Rfam family "Bacterial small subunit ribosomal RNA", at positions 525 to 775 of the family's 1533-position model. The record is from RNAcentral.